Molecule: ribosomal RNA, 425 nt
Filed under: uncultured bacterium
Lineage: Bacteria
Description: bacterial SSU rRNA
Rfam family: Bacterial small subunit ribosomal RNA
Source: RNAcentral
AUUGAACGCUGGCGGCAUGCUUUACACAUGCAAGUCGAACGGCAGCACAGCAGAGGUAACUCUGUGGGUGGCGAGUGGCGAACGGGUGAGUAAUACAUCGGAACGUACCCUGUUGUGGGGGAUAACUACGCGAAAGCGUAGCUAAUACCGCAUACGCCCUGAGGGGGAAAGCGGGGGACCCUAAAUAGAGCGCACUGGGGAGUGCGUUGUAUUUAGGGCCUCACGCAAUAGGAGCGGCCGAUGUCGGAUUAGCUAGUUGGUGAGGUAAAGGCUUACCAAGGCGACGAUCCGUAGCUGGUCUGAGAGGAUGAUCAGCCACACUGGGACUGAGACACGGCCCAGACUCCUACGGGAGGCAGCAGUGGGGAAUUUUGGACAAUGGGGGCAACCCUGAUCCAGCCAUGCCGCGUGAGUGAAGAGGGCCU